This 354-nucleotide ribosomal RNA is filed under the name Salmonella enterica. RNAcentral describes it as "bacterial LSU rRNA". It matches the Rfam family "Bacterial large subunit ribosomal RNA", at positions 2449 to 2802 of the family's 2925-position model. RNAcentral also lists the same sequence under 4 other names. The record is from RNAcentral. Lineage: Bacteria; Pseudomonadati; Pseudomonadota; Gammaproteobacteria; Enterobacterales; Enterobacteriaceae.
UCAACGGAUAAAAGGUACUCCGGGGAUAACAGGCUGAUACCGCCCAAGAGUUCAUAUCGACGGCGGUGUUUGGCACCUCGAUGUCGGCUCAUCACAUCCUGGGGCUGAAGUAGGUCCCAAGGGUAUGGCUGUUCGCCAUUUAAAGUGGUACGCGAGCUGGGUUUAGAACGUCGUGAGACAGUUCGGUCCCUAUCUGCCGUGGGCGCUGGAGAACUGAGGGGGGCUGCUCCUAGUACGAGAGGACCGGAGUGGACGCAUCACUGGUGUUCGGGUUGUCAUGCCAAUGGCACUGCCCGGUAGCUAAAUGCGGAAGAGAUAAGUGCUGAAAGCAUCUAAGCACGAAACUUGCCCCGA